This 32-nucleotide non-coding RNA is filed under the name Homo sapiens (human). The record is from RNAcentral. Lineage: Eukaryota; Metazoa; Chordata; Mammalia; Primates; Hominidae.
UCCNGAAAAGAGAGCUGUGAAAGGCAGCGGGC